Long non-coding RNA from Passer domesticus (house sparrow), 3834 nucleotides. RefSeq lists it as uncharacterized. The record is from RefSeq and is a predicted model, not a curated record. The transcript has 2 exons. Lineage: Eukaryota; Metazoa; Chordata; Aves; Passeriformes; Passeridae.
CAGGGGUGGCUUCUCUGACAAGCUGCCAGAAGCAUCCCCCUUGUAUGACAGAGACAAGGCCAGCCAGCUACAAGACAGACAGACUGACGGCCAAGCCAAUCAGUGACAGCAGCAGGACCUCUGGGAUAACAUAUUUAAGAAAAAGAAAAAAUAUGCUGUGCAACAACAGCCAAGUGUCUCUAUAUAGGACACGAAACAACACGACAUGGACGCGCUGCUGCUCUCAAGGUAGAAAAGGGAAGUUUAUUUUCUGACUCCAACAUUUACAGACUUCCAAAGGUGACAGUGGAUUGGAGGGUGAAAGUGCCACCUCUCCAAUGACACUGGACAAACCAACAGUCUAUCAAAUUUCUCCUCCUCCAUAAAAGAAUGCAAAACAAUAAAUUGCUUACAGAAAGUGUGUGAGAAAGUUUGCUACAAGAAUGCAAACAUCAGAAGGCUUAGAAAAUCUUAAAAAAUCAGGGCAACAGCCAAGGAGAGGAAUGAGAAUAUGUGAGAGCAAUAUCCCUGCAGGCACCAAGGUCAGUGAAGAAGGGGGAGGAAGUGCUCCAGGUGCUGGAGCAGUGAUUUCCCUGCAGCCUGUGGGGAAAAGAAGGCAGCUGUGAGGCAGCUGUGCCCCUGCAGCCCAUGCAGGUCCAGGAUGGAGCCAAGACCCACCUGCAGCCCACAGAGGGACCCCACACUGGGGCAAGUGGAUGCCCCGGGAGACUGUGACCCUGUGGGAAGCCCACACUGCAGCAGGCUCCUGGCAGGACUGGUGGACCCAUGGAGAGAAAAGCCCACACUGGAGCAGGCUUUUCCUCAAGGAAUGCACCCCUUGGAACAGACCAACAGUGGAGUGGUUUGUGAAGAACUACAGCCCAUGGGAAGGACUCACAUUGGAGAAACUUAUUGAGGACUGCCUCUUGUGGGAGGGACUCCACGCUGGAAUAGGAUGGUAUCUGAGGAGACUCAUUUGAUGUGGGUGUAUUACUACUAGCAAUUGCCAAGCAGUUUUACCUAAGGUGAUGGGGAGAAGACAUAAGCCUGAACAAUCAGUGGCCUUGCUCUUCCAGACUUCUGCAACUGCCUUAAAGCAAUCCUUCCUCCUCCUGCUGCCUCCUUGGGCAAUUAUUACAUCUUGUGCCAGAAUGAAUACACCUUUGCCUAGCUGACUAAAUAUGCCUGAGAUUAGUAAGAAAACCACUUUUCCCUACAUGCCCAGUGGUGAGACAGAAGAGCCUGUGAAGCUGCUCCUCACCUAGAUGUGUCUCAUUUGGCUCUCCUUUGUCUGAUGCAGCUAAUAACAUAUUGUUUCUGGGCUGCUUUUUCCUAUCUGUCCUUUCCCAUCUUACACAGUAAUGAAGAAAAAUUAUACCAUUUUUAUGCAACAUGGGACUUGUUCCUAUAUUAUAGCUUUAGUAAUUUCUUCUUUUAAACUUCUUAAUUUACUUUAUUAAAGGAUUUUAUGUCCGUACUGUCACCAUUGCACCAUAUAUAUACUAGGACACCCUUAGUGCCCUUGAUUUCUCCUGCUCUCUUUCUGUGGCACAUCAUAAUUUCUAGGGCUUUUUUUUAUUCUAAUUAAUUAUAGGAUGUUGGGAGUUAUUAGCUUGGAACUUCUGGUGUGUAAGUGGUGUGAGGCUGGUGCUCUGAAGUCCUUUUUAAACUAACUAUAUAUUACAUUUUUGCAGUCAGCUAGACUCCGUGGCCACACCAGUACAAAAGGAAAUAAAGCCAGGAAGAAAGCUCAAAUGCUGGAUCUGCAGCCAUUCCCACUGCUCCCCUGCUAGCACUCUCCCUGGCAUAGCUAUGUUUUGGGGGGGGACUGAAGUGGUCCAUGGGUCUGCUGUAUUCACCACUGCAGGCACGGCUGCUUAUCCAGAUGGUAUCUGGCAUCUUAAUCCUACAAUUUAAAAUUAUCUGGUGCCCCCUCCUAGCCUCACUCCUGUGCUUAAAGGCCAUUCUGAAAUGCUAAGUGCCUAACAUAACUGGAUUUUUUAACACUGGUUAUGCAAAUGAGAUAAUACAAUCAUGGCUGGGGGUUCAUAAUGUAGUUUUAUUCUUGUGUCUGACAGAUGUCACCAUCAUUGAUGAUCCUAUUUCACACUGGCUAUACUGUAAUUUUACAUCCUCAGUAAAGCUUAAUUGCAUGUAAGUUGAAGUGGUUUUUCACAAAAAUUUGGUAUAUGAUGAGGCCAUAAGGCUGAGGAGCCACAAACAAAGUAUUUAGGACAUUAAACACAGGGUUUGUUCUACACUUGCUCUAAACAUGCAAUUGCUCUACAAAGACUCAUUUACAUUACUCCUAGCUAAACUUAGCCAAAUCCUGGGGGUUUAUUACCUAAAAUUAUGCUGAUAUUACAAUUUACCACCACUUUACUUUCCUAGAACCCCCCUUUUUUUUUUUUUGGAGGCCAGUACUUCUCCUGUGCCAAGUGGAUUGUUCUUACUUUUCUUGACUUCUUAAUAAUGGAGUAUUGCAUGGCUAAACAUAUGCCAUGUGAAGUUUCUGUAGGUCUGAAAUAAAAAAAAAAUAAUAACAUUUUUCUUAGCUGAAUUUGUGACUUGCAUUAAAGUGACAGAUUUUCUGGCAUGAUUUUAGAGCUGAGAGGAAGGGAUUUUUAAAUAGUAUCUGAUAACUAUAGGAGCCAAUGAGAAAUACAGUGUCAUGUUAUGGGAAGAUAAGAUAUAUUCAGUGAGGUCUGAGCUUCACACAUACCACUAUUUCUGGUGAUCCAGUGAAUGUACUCAGAUUCCAUGAGCAAGAAUGACCUGUUCAGUCUUACAUACCUAUAUGCUAGUAGCUACCAUGACAUCCUGCACAAUAUAUGCUAUGAAGUAGCACUGAAAUAUUCUAUCCUUCUGGUACCAGAAUGAAUUUUUAAGCCAACUUAUGAACAAUUAAUUCCAUUCCCCACACUGCCAGAAGAAAGCCUACCCUUAAGGAUGCUUACCAGAGCAGAGAGGGCAAUACUUUUUGUUACCGUUCAGAUUCUAGUUAAGAUUCUCAGAACUAAAUACACACUCUAGUUAGAGUGGUAAAGCAUCAGAAGCUGGGGUAGCCACAGACUGAGAGCAAAGCACGGCUGACAAGAAACGUGCAUGCAGUCAGUACAGUAUCCUAAGUGACAAAUCAGAAUGACAUAUUACUGAAAAGCUGCAAAUUUAGCAUCUGCCUUUGAAGGCAGGUGUGUGGGAGAGCUACUGCAAACAGCACCAGCAAGACCUCGCCUAGCAUAAUGUAGAGGCUUCUGGUCAGUAUUCUCUGAAAGAACUCAGAUGAUAAGUGUAAAAGCAGCUGUUAAAGCACACCAGGGGAACAGAAGUCUAAUUGGAAUAGAAUAUUUUAGCUUGCUUAUUGUGAUAAAUAUCAGAGAAGUUAUGGUUUCUUUCUGUAUACCAUCAGAGAACAGACAUGAGGCAAAGUCAUGUCAAUUAAAGGGCACUGAAUCUGAGCUGUCCAGCAACUAUUUUGGCCUUGAAAGCAGAACACAGAUUAGAAGGACAAGCCUAAAAGGAAACUGUUUUAAGGGAGAGUAGGCACUGCAUAACAAUAAGGCCCUGUCCUCUAUUCCUAAGAAUGGGUGUAUGUAUUAAAAACUGGAGUAUAUCCAGUUGAUAAACAGUUGGAAAUUAAAGUUUAUGAAUCACUGUAAAACAAACCUUUAAAAAUAAAUACAAAGAUAAGCUGUUUCAGGAAUUAUCUGCUGAAAAAUUUUACUGUAUUUAGGUAAAACUUAAAGUGGCACCAGGAACAUGUAACUAUAAAUUUAUAUGGUGUUCAGUAUUAUGUUCCAACAGUGUCCUGUCUUACAUGGAAAUAACUAGACAGAAAUAAAGAAAUUAAAUAUA